UGUCCAGUAGCACCUUAGAGACCAACUAAGUUUGUUCUGGGUAUAAGCUUUCGUGUGCAUGCACACUUCUUCAGAUACACAGUAGUUGGUCUCUAAGGUGCUACUGGACA
Non-coding RNA from Podarcis lilfordi (Lilford's wall lizard), 110 nucleotides. Lineage: Eukaryota; Metazoa; Chordata; Lepidosauria; Squamata; Lacertidae. The record is from the annotation of a GenBank genome assembly.